Molecule: ribosomal RNA, 372 nt
Filed under: uncultured bacterium
Lineage: Bacteria
Description: bacterial SSU rRNA
Rfam family: Bacterial small subunit ribosomal RNA
Source: RNAcentral
UACGGAGGAUGCAAGCGUUAUCCGGAUUUAUUAGGUAUAAAGGGUGCGUAGGCGGACCAGUUAGUCAGUGGUGAAAUACUGCGGCUUAACCGUAGAACUGCCAUUGAUACUGCAGGUCUUGAGUACAGUUGAGGUAGGCGGAAUGUGUGGUGUAGCGGUGAAAUGCUUAGAUAUCACACAGAACACCGAUUGCGAAGGCAGCUUACUAAGUUGUAACUGACGCUGAUGCACGAAAGCAUGGGGAGCAAACAGGAUUAGAUACCCUGGUAGUCCAUGCCGUAAACGAUGAUCACUCGCUGUAUGUCCAUUAGGAUAUGUGGCUGAGCUAAUGCAUUAAGUGAUCUAUUUGGGGAGUAUGGCGGUAACGCUGAA